AAGCAAUGAGGUCGCACCGCAUCUUGCUUGCUAUUCCGAUGAAUUAUUACAGCGUGAUGCAUUACUUGCUGAAAGAUUGCAAUUCUUCACCUCGCCUCAUUCGUCAUCUUGGCCUUUCUCUUCGCGUGCAUUAUACACACGGCACGUCAUAGGAUUGUCUGUGCCGACCGACAUUCAUGAGUGGCGAGUUUCAGUGCGGAGUGCACUUAAAUUCCUAAACCAUAUUGUCGAAGACGAGAUCCAUAAGUAAGAUAAGGGAAAGACGUUUCGCUCUUGAGAACGCGGAAACAUGCCACGCGCGGUAUUGGAAAGUAAGAAGAAAGUAAAAACACCGAGAAACCAUUGCGAAAGGGAGCAUAGCUAUAGCGUGAAUGCGGAAACAGGGUGCGCUAUUAGUUCGAAGAAAUAAAUACAGAUGAAAAAAAAUUUAUUUUGCAUCUCUAUGUCAGCCGUGGGAAGCACGAUUUUGAAGACCACGAAGUUUCGUUUCUGUCUGAAGCACGGUGCUCCUUUGGAAUCGCCCUGAAAGCAAGGGAACGUGCACUUUGUGUUUUGGUCGACGUAGCAGACAUCAUUCAACCGGAGGACGGACGUAGUAUAACGAUCGUAGGUAGUCUGCGGAUAUGCAAGUCAAGUGAGAGGCUCCCUUCCGCCAGCGUCGUCGCAAGGAGACAGCCGAUUUCGAGAGGACACGGUGGCAGAGGGAAGCGGAGUGCGCCAAGGAGGACCCGAUCACGUCGUCGACGAAGUCGUCGGCGAACACGACGCGUUGUUCCCAUUGAUCGACUCCAUUCGCAGCAUAUACGGGACUUUGGUCUCUCUACCCGCGGGGAUUUGGCACUUUGACGAGCUCGCAUCGCGUGGAAAAGAAACGCGUCUGUCUUCCGUUUUUCUCCUCGCUUUUUCCUUCCCGCGUACAUACAUGUCUAUCUAUUUGCGUUUAGCAAUAAGUUUCUGUUCCGUUCAUCCGAAUUAUAAAUUCGAUUCGACCGAUCAAUCGCCGGAUUUGUCUCACCGGAUAAUCGCGUUUGAGAACCUUUUGCAUCGCCUCGCUAUUUACGUCCGUUUUCUUGGUCGACUCAACGAUACAAUCGAUGCUUUCGGCACGGAACAUCGAUGCUUUAAGCACAACGAGACCAAAUGUUUGUCCUCCCAACGAAAAGCUUAAUUACGGCGCUUUCGUCGGGGAUGGAAACAGCUCAAUCGUUGUCGCUGCGGGUGACUAAUUCCGGAUCGACUUAACGUAGGAGCUAAUUUCGCACGUACGUGCACGUGGAAAAUUUCUUCCCGUGUUUAGGCGGGGUAGGCAUACGCUCGGUGAUGAACGAGAUGCGGCGAGAUGUAACGAAACACAUAGCGGCAAGAGUUUAUGGCGCGGCAACUCGCUAUUAUUUGAAUGCUUCGUGCAAGAGAAAUGAUAUUCUAGAACGCAUUGUGAGUCGCUUGCCGCAAGUUGGGAUUGGCUCGUAGAUCUCAUAGGUACAGAAUUUAAUAUUUUACUGCAUGGUGUAUAAUAUUUAGCAUAGGUACAGAAUUUAAUAUUUUACUGCAUGAUGUACAAUAUUUAGCACUGUGUAGUAAUAGUAUUAGUAUUAGUAUUUACGAAAGAUCUUAUACUAAUUAUAAUUGAUGCAUAUUUAAAGAAAUAUUUAUUAUCGACGGUAUUUUCGUCAUUAUUGAGAUUCUGUUAUUGAUUGUUAUCGAUUUAUUUUACAUUUCUACACGGAAAGAACAAUUUUGCUGAAU
Molecule: long non-coding RNA, 1746 nt
Organism: Wasmannia auropunctata (little fire ant)
Lineage: Eukaryota; Metazoa; Arthropoda; Insecta; Hymenoptera; Formicidae
Exons: 5
Source: RefSeq, a predicted model, not a curated record